AUAAAUUCCAACAAAUUCAAAAAAUCGAUUCCUGCAACAAAUUUAAGAAAUUCCUAACCAAAAAAAAGAAGAGCUAGCUUCGCCUUGAAGCUACUCGCGCAGGAGAGGCGUCCACGGCCAGAUCUCCCUCUGUUUCAGGCACCACCGUAUCAAAGGGCCGGCCUUCUUCAUCCUGGAUGAAGCCAUCCACGGCCAGAUCUCCCUCCGUUUCAGGCACCACAGUGUCCGGCUCCAAAGCCGAAGAUGGAAAGGACAAAGCUUCAAAGUGGGUCGCCGUCAAAACGUCUGAAAAUGUCGGAUAAGACUCCGUCAUUGGUGUCGUAUCACCGAGAACCAAAGGGGGUAACAGCAAAUCGGAUGAUUCAUCGGUAGAAUCACAAGUGGUGCCGAGUUCCAUCGGAGAUGGUAACAGAUCUGGUGAUUCUUCGAUAGAAUCACCGGUUGAACAGAGACAAGUGAGAAUCAGUUCGGAGGCCGAAGGGGAAAUCGGCGAAGAAAGAUUUUCCGAGUGAGGCGGCGCGAGGGGUUUUUAGAGACAAGUGGGAGAAAUAAUGUUGGAGGGGGGGUUUAAUUUUUUACGUUAAAGGGAGAUUUAAUUAUGCCAGUUAAUUAGGUCAUCCACACUUAAUUAAGGAAUAGUUAGGGUGUUUAAAUUGGAUUUUUGGUGGGCCCAACAAUGGCAACUAAAGUAAAUUGUGAAACAAAAUAAGGGUAAAU
Molecule: long non-coding RNA, 717 nt
Filed under: Salvia miltiorrhiza (redroot sage)
Lineage: Eukaryota; Viridiplantae; Streptophyta; Magnoliopsida; Lamiales; Lamiaceae
Description: long non-coding RNA (SMIL_LNC005637)
Source: RNAcentral